Molecule: ribosomal RNA, 119 nt
Filed under: Pteropus alecto (black flying fox)
Lineage: Eukaryota; Metazoa; Chordata; Mammalia; Chiroptera; Pteropodidae
Source: RNAcentral
AAUUACGGCCAUGCCACCCUGAAUGCGCCUGAUCUCAUCUGAUCUCCGAAGUUAAGCAGGGUCGAGCCUGGUUAGAACUUGGAUGGGAGACCACCUAGGAAGACCAGGUGCUGUAGGCA